CCAUUUCUUAGUUUUUAGGGAAAACUUCAAAAACCCCCCCCUGUGGUUUCAUGCAUUCUCACUUUACUAUCCUGUGGUUUAAAACGUAUCAAUUUGCCCCCCUGUGGUUUCAUUUUUAUUUUUUCGGAAGCUUUUUCGUUAACAUUUCGUUAAAUUAUAUACAAAAAACUUCAGAUAACCAUCUAUAUUUAUCGAAUAUUCACUUUAGUAUCCUUUAAUUUUAACUUUGUCACUGAUUUAAAAAAAAAAUAAUAAUAAAAUUGAUAACAAAAAGAGAAAAACGAAACCACAUGGGGGCAAAUUGAUACGUUUUAAACCACAGGGUACUAAAGUGAGAAAGCACGAAACCACAGGGGGGGUUUUUGAAGUUUUCCCUAGUUUUUAAAACAUAAUCUCUAUGCGCAAAUGGAUGGUAUAAUGUUCGCAGCCCAUACAUCACAUUGGGGAAUCAGGCGAAGAAGACAAAUAAGCAACAGUGAUUCUUUUCCUCUUAGUUUUUUUAAAGGGACAAUUAUUUAUAUAUUUCUGAAAAGUUUCUGUUUUUUCGAUUUAUCCCUCUUAAAAGGCUAAUAUGGAAAAUACCCUUACUACGGUCCAACCUAUUUCUAAUAUACCCAUAGUGUUAAAAUAUGUUAAUUAAUUCUGUUAUUUCUGUAAAAUUACUAUUUUGUCCUUUCAAAUAUACCCUUUCACCAUCAUUGUCUUUUUUAUUUGCUCUUAAAGUCGUGACACAAAAAGUAUUUUGACUUUUAGUCUUUUCUAAUAUACCCCUCUACCGUCACCAACAUUUCUUAUUUGCCCUUAAACUAAGUGUAAAAUUGGCAUAUUAAUUUUUUUUAACUGUGCUAAAUAUUUAACUCACGUUUAACCUAAAUUAACUUAACAGGAGAUAACUGUAGGGAUAUUUUACAGUUGAGUAGACUUUUCUUCAAACGUAUGAGGGGUAUACAAAAGAAUAGAUGUAGACUUUUCUUCAAACGUAGCUCUCCACAUUUCUAAAUAUUUAGCACAGUUAAAAGCAACCAUAUUUAACUUAACCCAAAAGAAAAGAUGUAGACUUUUCUUCAACAUUUAAUCAGCCAGUCAGACUGCAGACCACGUGCAGCAAUUUCUUAAUCUGCCAAUCCCAAAAAUCUGACAUUUGGCCACUCUUUUUCUCAGCAAUUUUUAAAACAUUUUUUUUUAAUUUUAUUUUCAUUGGAAGCUAUACAAGUUAUUCAAACGACAUGAAAAUUUGAAACAAGAUGAAAAUUGUUUGUUCAGGGCUUUGCUGCAACUUAAGGGGUUCGCAAAUUUCUUCCCGACACAGUACUGCAGCAGCAUAUAGGAAAGAUGAAGAAACGUGAAAUUAGCUACUCAAAUCAAAUUGCCCCGGACACCUAAUGAACCAAUAGAAUAUACACUUUCAUGCAAUCACAACCAACGGGAAUCCGCGAUUAAAACUCCUCUGUAAAGCAAUCAACAAAGAUUGAUACAUACCGACCGUCCUUAGUACAAGCGGCAAAGGGCUUGGCGUUCGAGGUCCCAAGUUCGAAUUCCAGUUGAUUGAUAUUUUCAACUAAGCUUAUUUAUAAAAAAAUAAACGAAGUGAGUAAAAUGCUAUCUUUCUCUUAAAAAAAUAUGUGCCCACACAUCUGGGUUGGAGAACCAAUUCGCGCCAAGCUCACAAAUUGAUCAACCUCGAUAGCUCUGCCAACUUGGUUCUUUUUUUUUUUUUUUUUCAGUUUCUUUCACUAAUUCGAGGUGAACACAAGUAGACCUUAUUCAGGCUCGAAAUUAAUUCGAGCCAGCUUGAAUUCGGCUCGAAUUCCAUCAUGUUCGGCUCGUUUGCUCCCCUACUUGCGAUAUGCAUUAGAAUUCUUCUUUUAAUAGGAAAAAGAUAUGUUUUCUUUUUAAGCUAUUACUUCCGUAGAAUAUUGAAAAUUUGAGUACGCAGUACAUAUAUAUAUAACUGGGGAAAAUUGAAACCUCAACUAAUGAAAACAAAACGAAGACCAAGUAAUUGUGGAUUAACCUAGAUAUAAUUCUGCUCAUUCUUCUUCUUCUUCUUUAUCCGAUAAUCGCACUUCUUAUUUUAGAAUUGCUGAGGGGUUUAAAUUCUACCUAUUUCCAAAUAUAUAUCAAGAGGCCGAUUGAAAGAAGCUAUGGAGCGCGAGCCGUAACUAGACUCCAACUUGGAAAAUCGAACGGGUCUCCAAUAAAAAUCGGAUCCACCAAAUUAACAAAUCCAUAUACAAGGAGCUUCGCAACAUCAGCCAGGCUGAAAUUUUUACACACAUAAUUUUUGGACGGCAACAUCAACCGAAUUGAAGCCGAUAAUUCAUGGCACAUGAAUAAGAAGUCAAGGGACUAAAAUAGCAAAUAAGGUUUGAUGCGACUGAGUUUAUUUAUCAUUAUUAACCCAUGCAAUGCACGAGAUAUAACCUUUUUUUCUUUUUUUCUUUUUUCGAAAAAUAGAUAGCAAGCUACCUGCUUCAUUCAUUAAGUAAAAUAAACGAAACGUACAUGAUGGAGAGAGACAGCUAGAGCCUCCUGAAAGAGCCGAAAAAAUACAAGAUCGAUACAAGCUAAGAUAUAACCAUAUAUUACAUAUGAUAAAGUUCGCUUUUAUUGUCAUACAUCCAUACGCAUAUAUAAUAUUUUUAACAGAAUGAUACGAGUUUCGGUCGCGAUUACUUCACAACAUAAGCAUUCUAGUAGAAUAAUACUCACAGCUCGUUACCCCAUGACUUAUUCCAAGUAACCUCCACUCGAAUUUCACCAUACUUCCCAGCAAUAUUCUUCUCAGAUGUUCCGUGGAAGAGCGGAGGGAAGUCUGCAGUUCCAUUUGCAAUCUCAUCGUCGGGAGUGAUUGUAUCGUGAUCGUACAAUUCUGCCCUAACACUGAGGGAGUUUUUGGUUGGAACUGCUACUGUCUUCUUCGUCAGUACAAUGCAUUCCCCAGGGCUUACAUUUAUGUACUCCUCUUUCUUCUUACGAAAGAGCAGAGUCUUCUCCCCAGAAGGAUAAUCGCUAUAAGAAGCAGAAAUAUCUCCAUAAACAUCAGCAGGGUUUUCCCCAUCUCCAUUUAUGAGACGAACAGCAAUAGUCGCCUCCACCGCAUCACUUAACACCGUGUAGCAAACUCUUGCAGAACCGUUCUCUCCUUUAACAUCAGCAUAUAAAAUGCUGUCAAAGACAUUGGCGGUGUCGAAAACAUUCCAUGCGAUUUCCCCAUUACUUACUUCAUCAUCCCAACUCACAGCAUCCCUAUCCAAGAGAUGAAGUUUCACAGUGAAGCUAUCAUAAGCUGUGAUAGCUCUACUGGGGCCAGUUAGUAAAAUUUUGUUGCCCGGAUAGAUGGUUUCGUAACUAUCCCGUUGUCGAUCAUAGAUGAACUGACACCCCAGUCCAUCCGCAACCGUGAUUGUGCCGUAGAGCUCGCCGGGGUUCUCGCCGUCGAUGUUGUCGAUGCACACCCAGAACACCUCCACCAUCCGCCGUCCUUGUGGCAAACACAUAUUGUUGUCCUCAGCCGCCAGCAACGUGCGUGGGGGCCUAGGCUUUCCAAAGUUGAAGAAUAGCAAGAUUCCGAGUGCAGCAGCCGCUUCCUCAGCUAUCGUUAUUUGCAUGUCAUUGGGUUGCGGAAGCCGAAAGUAAUGAGUGGCAUCUGCGUCGGCGCGUAGUAAUGCUUCAGAAAGGGUCCCCCAGCCGUGUUCCAGCGCGGUCAUCCAAGUAGGGGGCGGGGAACCGGGGUUAUAUUGGGUAGCCAGAUGCUCGGAGAUACGACUAAAUCUGAUUGAUUCACAUAUCAUUUGAAUCACGACAAUCAAUUGCUUUGCCCUCUCCUGGCGAUCUUCAGUCCAAGCAAGUUGGUUUACAGCAGUUAUGAGCUGAGGCUGGCCGAGGUUUAUGCGAUCUAUCGAUUGUCUGGCAGCAUUUUGUAAGUCAUUGUAACUACCGCCGAAGCCCAGAAAGUUGGAUUCGGGAUGACCACUUCCAAACUGUAACCACUGAUCAGAAUUCUCCAUUUGGUAGCCGUCCAAGUAAAGGUUAUCUCGCCGAAUCCGAAGCUUAAUCUCAUGUUGUUCGGUGUUUUGUAUGGUUUGCAGUACCACCACACAGAACCUCCUGUUGGUAUCAUUAGGAUCAUCAAUUUCAUUAGGAUCAUGAAGCACAGGGCGACCGUGUGAAGACCUACUAGAUGCCAAUUCGUGGCGCAAGGAUUCAAUGAAUUUCUUGUAAGCCACCCAUUCAUGACCUGUACUAACUUCCACCUUAAAUGUGAACUCCAUUAUGUUCUGUUUUUGAGAAAACAUAAGCAAAAAAAAAAAAAAAAAAAAAAAAAACCUUGUUAGAGAAUACAUGGGUUGAAAAAGGACCUAGCAAUGAAUGAAUCACAAUGAUGGAAUUGAGCUUCUAUGUUUUUAAAAGUACAAGUUAUUAGUGCUUGUAGAUUUUUUAUCAUUGGACUAAAAUAUGUAUAGUUAAGAUGAUGUGAGUGAGAUAGUUUAAAAGAUCUAAAUUAUGUUUAAUGAUAUUGAUCGUUGAUUUGAAAGCUUCAUCAUUGAAAAUAAAUCAGUAGUAAUAAAGUCCAUUUAUUACUGAUAGCAUUUCAGCUCAACUCUCUCUUUAUAUAUUUAUAUAAGUUUGUACUGUAGCAAACUUGAAAAUUUACAUACCUUGGGGCUUACAAACAAAGAAAAGGUAGAGCGGCACAUAUAUUCUAGUGAUUACUUUAGCACGCCGAAAUAGCAGCAGUUGAAAGGUAGUAGCACACUGUCUAAGGGCCUAUUUGGCCUAACUUCUGAAAAAGUGAUUUCUGAAAAAGUGAUUUCGGUUUGGAAAAGUGAUUUCUGUUAAAAGUUGUAGAGCGUUUGGUGAGUCUGAUAUAAAAGUGAUUUUGCUGAAGUGAUUUUAGAAAGUUGUUUGGCAAAUUUUUUUGCUGAAGUGAUUUUGUAAUGCUGUUUCACAAUAGUCAUUUUAAAAACUAAUUAAUAUUACAUGCCAAUAUUUCAAGUUAUCAAUAACUAUUUAAAUAUAAAAAAUUGUAGAAUGAUAAAUAUUCAUUUGGAUAACAAUUUAUCUAAAAUCAUCAAUGAUGCAGCAAUACGAUCGCGAGUUUGGAUAACAAUUAACCACAUUUUUCCAUCCAAUUCCUAUUAAAAUGAGUAUUAGGUCGGUUCCCAGCAUUGACCUCUUCAACACAUAUUUCGCAAAAAAUUUUGAGCAAUAAUGUAUCCCACGUAGCUUUAAUUUUUUUUUUUCUUUCGGGGUAGAUGGUUCUCCUUGUGAUGGAUUUAUCUUUCAACUUUCUAAUAAAAAAAUUAUGUAUUAAAAAAUACAAACAACACAAAUGCUAAACAAAUAAUCGAAAUAUCGCAUACAAACUACACAAUACUACAAAUUAAAUAAAAUUUUAAAAUAUUACACACUACAAACUAAUCAAACAAUCAAACACACAUGCUAAGUUGAAGUGAUUAAUAAGCAACUUGAAGUGAUUAAUCAACCAGUUGGGCUCCAACGGACCACAAGUAUCAUGUACCAUUAAGUGAGAAAUGCGGAGAGAAGUGCCAUAAAAAUAAAAUCUCAUCAAUGGCUGCAACUUUACUGUAAAUGGGAGUUGAAUUGAUGGAUAAGUGAGAAAUUCAACUUUAAUGUAAAUGGCUGCAACUUUAUUAUAUGCUAUCCAACAAUCCCAAUAGGUGGAAGCCACCAUGUUACAUGGCAAAGAGCUGGGUCCAUUGACCAUAACAAACUCACAAUUAAUUAGUAACCUGAAGCAUGAGCACAUCUUAUCUACUCUGAAAAAAAGACAAGAACUGCCACAAGAAGAUAAAACUAAAGCUUUUAAGCCUCAAGAGAAGUGCUCGCAGAGCACAGUGGAGGAAUUUUAGUGAAAAAGUUAAUAGCACUUCCUCCCUCUCUGUCUUUGCCGGAUCCGGCCCCGGUGCGGCUGGACCCACGCCACGCCGGCAACGACCCCGGAUCCGACCUCGGAUCCGGCAAAGACAGAGAGGGAGAGAGAGAAAGCUGUAAAAAAAAAAAAAAAAUAAAGUAUCUUCUUUGGAGGUUCGCCGGAGAGAAGGUUCGCCGGUAAGAAAAGAUUCGCCGGAGAGAGGUGGCGCCGGAGAGGAAGAAGGGAGAGAGAUGGAGGAGAGGAGAGGAAAGUGAAAGUGAAAUUUUUAAAACUUCAAAAACCCCCCAUGUAGUUUCGUGCAUUUUCACUUUGCUACCCUGUGGUUUAAAAUAUAUCAAUUUANACGACCCCGGAUCCGACCUCGGAUCCGGCAAAGACAAAAAAAAAAAAAAAAAAAAAAAAAAAAAAAGAGAGAGAAGAGAGUACCUUCUUUGGAGGUUCGUCGGAGAGGAGGUUCGCCGGAAAGAAAAUAUUCGCCGGAGAGAGGUGGCGCCGGAGAGGAAGAAGGGAGAGAGAUGGAGGAGAGGAGAGGAAAGUGAAAGUGAAAUUUUUAAAACUUCAAAAACCCCCCAUGUAGUUUCGUGCAUUUUCACUUUGCUACCCUGUGGUUUAAAAUAUAUCAAUUUAUCCUCCUGUGGUUUCAUUUUUAUCUUUUCGGAAGCUUUUUCGUUAAUAUUUUGUUAAAUUAUAUACAAAAAACUUCAGAUAACCAUCUAUAUUUAUCGAAUAGUCACUUUAGUAUUCUUUAAUUUUAACUUUGUCACUGAUUUAAAAAAAUAAUAAUAAUAAAAUUGAUAACAAAAAAAUAAAAACGAAACCACAGGGGGGCAAAUUGAUAUGUUUUAAACCACAGAGUAGCAAAGUGAAAAUGCACGAAACCACAAGGGGGUUUUUUGAAGUUUUCCCUUUUUUUUUUAAUGUUGGAGAGAAAAGGUUGGCUGUGGUAAAUGAGAGAGAGAGAGAGAGAGAGAGAGAGGGAGGAGGGUAGUUGCAAGUGUAUUAAAUGAUAAAACGUUAAAGUAGAAUUAUAUUAUUUGUUUAGGGAUAGUUUAGGUAUUUUUAUAAAAAAUUUUAAGUGAGAAAAUUAUUUUUGUGGGUAUCAAUUUGAGAAGCUGCUUUUUGCUGCUUCUGUUUUUAGAGGUUGAAAAUUUAAUUUUCUGGUUCUCAGAAGCAAAAUUAGAUUUUAAAAUUUUUAUUGCCAAACACUCUACUUUUAGACUCAGAAUCACUUUUAAAAAGCUUGGCCAAACACCUCCUAACUCACAAACUUUUUACUUUACAAACUAUAGCUAAACU
This 7195-nucleotide long non-coding RNA is filed under the name Ananas comosus (pineapple). RNAcentral's name for it is "long non-coding RNA (ACOM_LNC008103)". Lineage: Eukaryota; Viridiplantae; Streptophyta; Magnoliopsida; Poales; Bromeliaceae. The record is from RNAcentral.